UACGAAGGGGGCUAGCGUUGCUCGGAAUCACUGGGCGUAAAGCGCACGUAGGCGGACUCUUAAGUCGGUGGUGAAAUCCUGGAGCUCAACUCUGACAUUGCAUACGAUACGGGCAGGCUUGAGUUCGGUAGGGGAGACUGGAAUUCCUGGUGUAGCGGUGAAAUGCGCAGAUAUCAGGAGGAACACCGGUGGCGAAGGCGGGUCUCUGGGCCGUAACUGACGCUGAGGAGCGAAAGCAUGGGGGAGCGAACAGGAUA
Molecule: ribosomal RNA, 257 nt
Filed under: uncultured bacterium
Lineage: Bacteria
Description: partial 16S ribosomal RNA
Rfam family: Bacterial small subunit ribosomal RNA
Source: RNAcentral